CGUUUCCUACGAGGCUGCUGCACGCACUUCUUCCGCUCCUCGCUCCCACCCAGCGAAUACUAGAAAGCGUCUUGGGUCUUUCCCGCUUUCUUUCUCCAUCUGUGUUGGUCUCUUCUUCCCUUCCCGUCCCCUUAUAUUCCCCUCGUAAUACCCGACCACACAAAAUGUCGCAGCCGGUGAGAUCCGCUCCACUGUCUGUCCCGACGCCAGCCCCCACGAAGGUCGCCAUGCUGCCUUCGCAGCCGCGCCCGCGUCUUACUGGUCUGCCACCCGGUACGGCGUUUGUGAAGACCGCGCUGGCAGUGCCUCCGGCAACCAUGCCGCGCCAGCAUUCCACCACCGCAGAGAUGUCGCUGCUGCACUCGCUGUCCGCAUCCAAGGCAGCCGCGAGCCCAAAGCCGCCUCCGCCGCUUCCAUCGGUGCCAGCGAACAGCUGGUAUGCUCAGCCGUUCGUCGAGCGGCCUGGUACACCAAUGUCCACUUUCCAUCGGAACCACCGCGGCAAGAUCAUCUUCUCGCCUCGUCCCGUACCGGUCGAGGAGGCGGAACUGCUAGCGCUACCUGGACAGGAGCCGCGGACCUUGACCAUCUGCGAGGUGGGCAAAGACCUUCUCUACGGAAUGGCCUACCUCUAUGCCGUGCCGCUUGCCAUUGAGCAUCAGUGGCGCGGCCGCGUCGCGUACCUUCAGCAAGUGCGGCGGCAUCAGGCUCCGAUACCGGACAUCGUGCUCCGAAGUGUUCAGGGACGCACGGCGCUACAGCGACAGCAUCAGGCGCAGGAGGGUCUCAAAGCAUCAGUACCGCUGUCUUCGUCUUCGCCGACGUCGCCAGCUCCAGCUGCCUCGGCACUGGCGCCGGUGGAGUACAGCAACAUCAUGCGCUUCGAGCGUGGCGAGGCUGCUGUGUAUGACCGUCCUGCCGACGACUUUCUGAUUGGCAUAAAGGUUUUCGUGAGCGAGGAGCUUGUGGAGGAUCACUACCCCGACGUGCACGCGCUCCCUCAGUGCACGGCGACCAUCACCGCCAAAGAGGCCGCACAGCUCUGGAGCUGCGUUCCCUUUGUCUUGAUCGGCUACCUCAACCAGGCGCUCCUGGACCCCAUCUCUCUCUUCCACACCCUCUCCUUGAGCUUUGUGGAGCACCUCCUGCGGGUGAAGCUGCCUGGCCGUGGCCCCGCUGGCCCCGCAGAGGAGCGCGCCAAGGCAACGUCGACGCGGCCUUCAUCCUCUGCGGCCGCCCCCUCGCAGCCCACCAAAGCUGCGCUACUGGAGCUGCCUUUGCGGGUGGAAGUGGUGUACGGUUGCCGCGCGGAGGCGUUCUACUGCACGGACUUCAUCUCGCGCGGCCGCUGCGUUUUGCGCAUGACAGAGGCCUCCAAACCGUCGUUGAAGAGUUAUGAGGAGAAGUUGCGUGCACUCGUCAAGGCACGCCAUAGGGCGCCCCAGUUAAUCCCCCGUCCCGCGAGCGGUCUUCCACCACCGCGCGCGUGUGCCGGAUGCGGCUAUCCCUUGCAGUUUCGCUGCAGUUUCUGCGGCGCCGAGGUAUGCGGGAGCUCGGUAUGCGCCUUGAGCGCUGUCAUCGGCUACCCGCGCGCCUGCACGCGACACGUGCUACAACGCUGAGCAGCAGGGGACGAAACUAGAAUCCUGGGUCCAGUGUGUGUGCCCAGAAGUAUGGCCAGUGUACAAUUUGCGAGGUCCGCAACAGUUCCCGGUAGCGUGCACGGCAGCGCGACCUUCGAUAAGCGUCGUGCUAUACAUGAGCAAAGCUGCCCGGGUGACGGGUGAGGGAGUGGGGUGAACGUGGCGCUGCUCGUCUCUGAGGCUACGCGCUUGGGGGAGGGAAAAGAAAGGGGAAGGGCGAUGGAACGGAAAGAUGCAAGUAUCUUCUUUAUGCGGCGGCACCGCGGGACCUCACUUCUUAUGAUAGUCUACGCGCUUGCACGUAUGUAUGUGUGUGUGUGUGUCGAUGACGCAACUCUUUCCUGCUGCCUCUGGCGUCCUUUCUUUGUCUGCUCGAAUGCCUGAGGCUCAUGCGACUAUGCGAAGCGGUUCCUCUGCCUCGCGGUUGCCGGCCAACCCCCCUCUAUUCGGACCAGCCCAAUACUUUUUUUUCUUGUGGUGUGUGGUUUUCUCCCUAAUGGCACAGGGAUAGGAGGCGGUGGUGGGGAGUGGAGGGGGUGGUGCUGCCGCUCACGCCUCUCAGCGCGUGGUAUAUCAGGGCCCAGUAAUGCCGCUCUCUCUGGGUGGGUGGGGGUUGAGCAGCUUCUCCAUAUCCUUGCCAAUGCCAAACCCAUUUCAGGUGUUGACAGGGUCAAGUGCCUGCGGCUUAGGGAGCCCAGGGCGAUGUAUCCGUACUCAUGCCAGCCGCUAUGUGCAUGGAGCUGCAUCGGAGAAACCUGCGACAGUGAGCGCGUUGCUAUCAUUUCUACGACGAGGCAGAGUGUCAGCGCGACUCGAUCGUAUCUCACCCUCGGCCCUCGCUGCCUACUGGUGUGGGGAGCGUGCGUGUCACCCCCCGAGGGGAGGGGAUGCACCAGGUGGCGAUCGGCAUGGCGGGAAGCGGCUAUGAGGCGACCUGCGAAGCGUGGGUGGGCGGGUGAGUUGUACUUGGGACAGGGGGCGCGCUCCGAUGACUGAGUCUGCGCAACGCUGCACCACGUGUCUAGCGCUGCUUUGCAUCAUGCGGGUGGGGUCUGUGCCAGGACCUGGUGGUUGUGAUGGUAGAGUGGAGUGGUGUGGCGUUCGAACGGAUGCGCUAUGGCAGGAAGGAGACGCGCCGAGGGGAAGACACGGGAGAAAAGGGUCUUUGCCUUUUGUGUGCUCCUGAAGCGCCUGCGCACGCCCUUCCCCCUUCAUACAGCGCUAAGUAGCAAAUACAGGAGACAAAACCAAGUAACGCAACACUGCAUGAUGCAAGCGUCAGCCAGAGCCGAAAC
This 2938-nucleotide unclassified non-coding RNA is filed under the name Leishmania donovani. RNAcentral describes it as "gene:LdHU3.28.2410(CDS-product:hypothetical_prote in_conserved)". The record is from RNAcentral. Lineage: Eukaryota; Euglenozoa; Kinetoplastea; Trypanosomatida; Trypanosomatidae.